GCAGCUAGACAUUUCAUAAAUAGAUAAUUCUCUAAUUGAUCCAGCCAAUCCUACUUUGCAUACCCUGCCAAACUAGACUUUUUAGUGCAGUCCUGAUUUCUGUAUUAAUGAAUUGAGAAGAUGACAUCAGGCUCUUAGAAGGAAGAUGGAGGGGGGCUGGAGCCUGGAAAGGCAAACUGUGUGACAACAACAGCCACCUAGUGAAGGAAAGAGAAACAAGGAAGGUGAGGAAAGAAAGAGCAAAGAGGGUGUAUCCAAGUGUGCUUCUAAU
RNAcentral lists this long non-coding RNA (271 nucleotides) under Dromaius novaehollandiae (emu). Its description in RNAcentral is "lncRNA (ENSDNVG00000012918.1)". Lineage: Eukaryota; Metazoa; Chordata; Aves; Casuariiformes; Dromaiidae. The record is from RNAcentral.